GGAGAUGUCUGAAUGGGGAAACCCGCAUGAGNGCAGGGGGUCGAGAGUUCGAAUCUCUUCAUCUCCA
This 67-nucleotide transfer RNA is filed under the name Blautia massiliensis (ex Durand et al. 2017). RNAcentral describes it as "tRNA-OTHER". Lineage: Bacteria; Bacillati; Bacillota; Clostridia; Lachnospirales; Lachnospiraceae. The record is from RNAcentral.